Molecule: transfer RNA, 70 nt
Filed under: Gymnocypris waddellii
Lineage: Eukaryota; Metazoa; Chordata; Actinopteri; Cypriniformes; Cyprinidae
Description: tRNA-Pro
Source: RNAcentral
ACAUUGUUGUAAAAUUAUGCAUAUUAUGUACUAUACCAUAAGGGGUGGUUUACCCCAGAAAAUAGUUUAG